GAAAUUUCCAUCAAGCAAAAUAUUACUCGACUUUAUGUCUCGGUGUAUUAUACGAGGCGAGCAAUCAUGAUGUAAAUAUGCCAGUCCUUUUGCAGCUCCCAUGAUUAUAGUCAACCGUGCAUCCCAGUCUAGUUGCUUAGAUCUGUAUGUAACUUUUUUUCAUUUUUUAACUGGAAAAGCAUAUUGAAAUCAAGAAGACAAAUACAGAAGAUCCUCAACACUCAACAGCAUAAGCAAUGUAAAAAAUUGGACGGACUAGCUUAGGAUAUUCCUCUUUUUUUUUCCUCAUAGCUUUUUACCACCAAAACAACAAUUUGUAGGAUUGCAUGGACACUUACAUUCGGAUUUUCACAUGUUCCACUCCUCAAACAAGAACAUAAGGUUGAAAUUCCAUUGUGUUUUGUAAUAUUCGAGUUAUUACAUAAAAUUUAGUUGUGAUGUGUCAUUCUUUUUUCUUUUUUUUUUUUUUGAAACUGGUAACUUAUAGUGAUGUGUCAUUUGUUAUUUUCUGAAGACUUGUAUUUCUCUUUAAUUUCAGUAUGGAAUAUAAUUAGUUAAAACUCAUUUAUAUGGCAUGCCUUGGGUCCCUUUUCGUUGUGCCCUUCUGUAACUCACCCAAGAUGGUAAACUGGCGGCCUUGUGAAGGAAAAACUACAGAACUUCUUGUUCUACAAUCAAAGUUUUAUAUCAACAUCACAAAGCAUCAAUGACACCCCAAGAAUUCUAUCAGAAUGACAUAAACCAAUUGUUGCUCAGUUACCAAGUUAAACUCCAUCAUUUUUUUUUUAUUUUUGAUAAGGUAAAAUCAUGUUAAAUCUAUUAUAUCCAAAGAUAUGCAUGCACGUUAGACUGCUUUGUUUUACCUCUCUUUUCCUUUCAGUUUUUGGGAAUAAAGUUGGGAGGGGAAGGAAGGGAAGAACAUCACAGCACACUUGUCUACUAAUUUCAUACGUAUAAUAGACUCAAAAAAGCACUUGUAUUUAAAACUCAUUUAUAUGGCAUGCCUUGGGUCCCUUUUCGUUGUGCCCUUCUGUAACUCACCCAAGAUGGUAAACUGGCGGCCCUGUGAAGGAAAAACUACAGAACUUCUUGUUCUACAAUCAAAGUUUUAUAGCAACAUCACAAAGCAUCAAUGACACCCCAAGAAUUCUAUCAGAAUGACAUAAACUAAUUGUUGCUCAGUUACCAAGUUAAACUCCAUCAUUUUUUUUUUAUUUUUGAUAAGGUAAAAUCAUGUUAAAUCUAUUAUAUCCAAAGAUAUGCAUGCACGUUAGACUGCUUUGUUUUACCUCUCUAUUCCUUUCAGUUUUUGGGAAUAAAGUUGGGAGGGGAAGGAAGGGAAGAACAUCACAGCACACUUGUCUACUAAUUUCAUACGUAUAAUAGACUCAAAAAAGCACUUGUAUUAUGAGGCAGAGAUCUAGUCAAGCAGGCAAUCGGCUUGACUCCAAGCUCCUGAGACAAUAUUCAGAGCUAGCACAACUUGCGACAAUGGAGGAGCACUCUAUCACCUACGGGAAAGUGUACUAUAAUUUCCACUGUUCAUUUAACAGAUUGCUACUUUUGCUCAGUUUAAUUAUUUUUAGUUUACAGUGACAGUAUCUAACAUUGUCAUUUAUCAAAAUGUUAUUGAUUCCUGGUGGUAGCACAAUUUAACGCCAUUAAGCAGCAUAACCUAAGGUAGAAAGAACAAAGAAGAGCUAUGUAUGGAAGACAACCAACAGCAUCGACAACGAUUACUACUCAAUAUUACAGCAUAUAUCGACCUUAUGUUAUUAGAUGCAAAGUGUCCCAACAUAUUUCCACUAAACCCAAGUGUACGUGCUAAAUUCAUAAAUAAACAUAUAUCCUUACCCUACCAUAAGCAGCAAGACAAUUAACAGUGGAAGAAUAUCUCACCAUGCAGAACUUCAUCCAAGCUGCCUCCGGAUAAGAAGUCAUAUAUCAACAACUUCGAUGUUGGAGAAUUGCAGUAUCCUCGCAGAUUUACCAGGUAACGGUGUUUUAUGCUUCCAAGAAUUUCAAGCUCUCUCUCAAAAAAUCUAUCAA
This 2049-nucleotide long non-coding RNA is filed under the name Capsicum annuum. Its description in RNAcentral is "long non-coding RNA (CANN_LNC002309)". The record is from RNAcentral. Lineage: Eukaryota; Viridiplantae; Streptophyta; Magnoliopsida; Solanales; Solanaceae.